This 693-nucleotide ribosomal RNA is filed under the name uncultured Acidobacteriota bacterium. RNAcentral's name for it is "bacterial SSU rRNA". It matches the Rfam family "Bacterial small subunit ribosomal RNA", at positions 99 to 795 of the family's 1533-position model. Lineage: Bacteria; Pseudomonadati; Acidobacteriota. The record is from RNAcentral.
CGGACGGGUGAGUAACGCGUGAACAAUCUACCCUCGAGUGGGGAAUAACCCCGCGAAAGCGGGGCUAAUACCGCAUAACAUCCUCUUGUCGCAUGGUGGGGGGAUCAAAGGCGCAAGUUGCUCGGGGAGGAGUUCGCGGCUGAUUAGCUAGUUGGUGAGGUAACGGCCCACCAAGGCGACGAUCAGUAGCCGGCCUGAGAGGGCGUACGGCCACACUGGAACUGAGACACGGUCCAGACUCCUACGGGAGGCAGCAGUGGGGAAUUUUGCGCAAUGGGCGAAAGCCUGACGCAGCAACGCCGCGUGGAGGAUGAAGGUCUUCGGAUCGUAAACUCCUGUCAGUGGGGACGAAAGCCCGAAAGGGUUUGACUGUACCCGCUGAGGAAGCUACGGCUAACUCCGUGCCAGCAGCCGCGGUAAUACGGAGGUGGCAAGCGUUGUUCGGAAUUACUGGGCGUAAAGGGCGCGUAGGCGGCAUGGCAAGUCAGAUGUGAAAGCCCCGGGCUUAACUCGGGAAUUGCAUCUGAAACUGCUGUUGCUUGGGUCCUGGAGGGGGUAGUGGAAUUCCCAGUGUAGCGGUGAAAUGCGUAGAUAUUGGGAGGAACACCGGCGGCGAAGGCGGCUACCUGGACAGUGACUGACGCUGAGGCGCGAAAGCCAGGGGAGCAAAAGGGAUUAGAUACCCCUGUAGUC